AUUGGUCAAUGGACGGAAGUCUGAACCAGCCAUGCCGCGUGCAGGAAGACGGCUCUAUGAGUUGUAAACUGCUUUUGUACGAGGGUAAACGCAGAUACGUGUAUCUGCCUGAAAGUAUCGUACGAAUAAGGAUCGGCUAACUCCGUGCCAGCAGCCGCGGUAAUA
This 165-nucleotide ribosomal RNA is filed under the name uncultured Bacteroidota bacterium. RNAcentral's name for it is "uncultured Bacteroidetes bacterium partial 16S ribosomal RNA". It matches the Rfam family "Bacterial small subunit ribosomal RNA", at positions 363 to 525 of the family's 1533-position model. Lineage: Bacteria; Pseudomonadati; Bacteroidota. The record is from RNAcentral.